RNAcentral lists this transfer RNA (88 nucleotides) under Minisyncoccota bacterium. Its description in RNAcentral is "tRNA-Leu". It matches the Rfam family "tRNA". From Rfam's summary of the family: Transfer RNA (tRNA) molecules are approximately 80 nucleotides in length. Their secondary structure includes four short double-helical elements and three loops (D, anti-codon, and T loops). Lineage: Bacteria; Bacillati; Minisyncoccota. The record is from RNAcentral.
GCCGGGGUGAUGGAAUUGGUAGACAUACAGGACUUAAAAUCCUGGGAGGCUUUAAAAUCUCGUGUGGGUUCGAUUCCCACCCCCGGCA